RNAcentral lists this ribosomal RNA (492 nucleotides) under uncultured bacterium. RNAcentral's name for it is "partial 16S ribosomal RNA". It matches the Rfam family "Bacterial small subunit ribosomal RNA", at positions 29 to 507 of the family's 1533-position model. The record is from RNAcentral.
AGUGAACGCUGGCGGUAGGCCUAACACAUGCAAGUCGAACGGCAGCACAGUAAGAGCUUGCUCUUACGGGUGGCGAGUGGCGGACGGGUGUAGCAUACAUCGGACUCUACUUUUUCGUGGGGGAUAACGUAGGGAAACUUACGCUAAUACCGCAUACGACCUUCGGGUGAAAGCAGGGGAUCUUCGGACCUUGCGCGAUUGAAUGAGCCGAUGUCGGAUUAGCUAGUUGGCGGGGUAAAGGCCCACCAAGGCGACGCUCCGUAGCUGGUCUGAGAGGAUGAGCAGCCACACUGGAACUGAGACACGGUACAGACUCCUACGGGAGGCAGCAGUGGGGAAUAUUGGACAAUGGGAGCAAGCCUGAUCCAGCCAUACCGCGUGGGUGAAGAAGGCCUUCGGGUUGUAAAGCCCUUUUGUUGGGAAAGAAAAGCAGCAGGUUAAUACCCCGCUGUUCUGACGGUACCCAAAGAAUAAGCACCGGCUAACUUCGUG